GAUGAACGCUGGCGGCGUGCCUAAUACAUGCAAGUCGAACGCACAGCGAAAGGUGCUUGCACCUUUCAAGUGAGUGGCGAACGGGUGAGUAACACGUGGACAACCUGCCUCAAGGCUGGGGAUAACAUUUGGAAACAAAUGCUAAUACCGAAUAAAACUCAGUGUCGCAUGACACAAAGUUAAAAGGCGCUUUGGCGUCACCUAAAGAUGGAUCCGCGGUGCAUUAGUUAGUUGGUGGGGUAAAGGCCUACCAAGACAAUGAUGCAUAGCCAAGUUGAGAGACUGAUCGGCCACAUUGGGACUGAGACACGGCCCAAACUCCUACGGGAGGCUGCAGUAGGGAAUCUUCCACAAUGGGCGAAAGCCUGAUGCACCGACGCCGCGUGAGGGAAGACGGUUUUCGGAUUGUAAACCUCUGUCUUCGGGGACAAAAAUGACGGUACCCGAGGAGGAAGCCACGGCUAACUACGUG
Molecule: ribosomal RNA, 472 nt
Filed under: uncultured bacterium
Lineage: Bacteria
Description: bacterial SSU rRNA
Rfam family: Bacterial small subunit ribosomal RNA
Source: RNAcentral